RNAcentral lists this ribosomal RNA (467 nucleotides) under uncultured bacterium. RNAcentral describes it as "partial 16S ribosomal RNA". It matches the Rfam family "Bacterial small subunit ribosomal RNA", at positions 28 to 507 of the family's 1533-position model. The record is from RNAcentral.
GAUGAACGCUGGCGGCGUGCUUAACACAUGCAAGUCGAACGAUGGUGCGCAGCUUGCUGGGUGGAGUAGUGGCGAACGGGUGGGUAACACGUGAGUAACCUGCCCUUGUCUCUGGGAUAAGCCUGGGAAACUGGGUCUAAUACCGGAUACGACAAUCUGGCGCAUGUCAUGGUGGUGGAAAGCAGUUGUGGUUUUGGAUGGACUCGCGGCCAAUCAGCUUGUUGGUGGGGGAAUGGCCGACCAAGGCGACGACGGGUAGCCGGCCUUAGAGGGUGACCGGGCACACUGCGACUGCGACACGGCGCAGACUCCUACGGGAGGCAGCAGUCGGGAAUAUUGCACAGCGGGCGCAAGCCUGAUGCAGCGACGCCGCGUGCGGGAUGACGGCCUUCGGGUUGUAAACCUCUUUCAGUAGGGAAGAAGCGAAAGUGACGGUACCUGCAGAAGAAGCGCCGGCUAACUACGUG